RNAcentral lists this transfer RNA (76 nucleotides) under Streptomyces phage Evy. RNAcentral's name for it is "tRNA-Glu". It matches the Rfam family "tRNA". From Rfam's summary of the family: Transfer RNA (tRNA) molecules are approximately 80 nucleotides in length. RNAcentral also lists the same sequence under 2 other names. The record is from RNAcentral. Lineage: Duplodnaviria; Heunggongvirae; Uroviricota; Caudoviricetes; Stanwilliamsviridae.
GUCCCGGUAGAUUCUGCUGGUAGAAUCGCUAGACUUUCAAUCUAGAGUUCGAGGGUUCAAUUCCCUUCCGGGGUAC